Onthophagus taurus is the source of this 110-nucleotide non-coding RNA. The record is from RefSeq and is a predicted model, not a curated record. NCBI's taxonomy places the organism in Eukaryota, Metazoa, Arthropoda, Insecta, Coleoptera, Scarabaeidae.
UUAAUGAGUAGUCAAGAAUUGUUUUGAUGAACUUCAACUACCCCGAUUUAAUUUAACUAUGAUUAAUUGCCUGUAGAAGAAACAAUAAAGUUUCGAAAUAUUGCAAGUAA